RNAcentral lists this transfer RNA (55 nucleotides) under Dermatophagoides farinae (American house dust mite). Its description in RNAcentral is "tRNA-Thr". Lineage: Eukaryota; Metazoa; Arthropoda; Arachnida; Sarcoptiformes; Pyroglyphidae. The record is from RNAcentral.
UCCUCUUAAGUUCUAAGAUAACCCUGAUUUUGUAAAUCAGAAGCAUUAAGAGGAU